ACACUUACCAGGCAGGGGAGAGGCUGUAACUGUGAAAGUGGUUUUCCCAGGUGAGACCCAUCUAUUGUGNUCAGGGUAUGCUAACCCCUGCGGUUUCCCCAAAUGUAUACUUUUUGGCUGUGGGGGACUGUGUUCAUGCUUUGCCCAG
This 148-nucleotide small nuclear RNA is filed under the name Salvator merianae (Argentine black and white tegu). RNAcentral's name for it is "U1 spliceosomal RNA (ENSSMRG00000005223.1)". It matches the Rfam family "U1 spliceosomal RNA". Rfam says of the family: U1 is a small nuclear RNA (snRNA) component of the spliceosome (involved in pre-mRNA splicing). Its 5' end forms complementary base pairs with the 5' splice junction, thus defining the 5' donor site of an intron. Lineage: Eukaryota; Metazoa; Chordata; Lepidosauria; Squamata; Teiidae. The record is from RNAcentral.